CCCUUCAGAGGGGGACAACAGUUGGAAACGACUGCUAAUACCGCAUACGAUCUGACCUCGGCAUCGAGGAUGGAUGAAAGGUGGCCUCUAUUUAUAAGCUACCACUGAAGGAGGGGAUUGCGUCUGAUUAGCUAGUUGGAGGGGUAACGGCCCACCAAGGCGAUGAUCAGUAGCCGAUCUGAGAGGAUGAACGGCCACAUUGGGACUGAGACACGGCCCAGACUCCUACGGGAGGCAGCAUG
This 242-nucleotide ribosomal RNA is filed under the name uncultured bacterium. RNAcentral's name for it is "partial 16S ribosomal RNA". It matches the Rfam family "Bacterial small subunit ribosomal RNA", at positions 129 to 353 of the family's 1533-position model. The record is from RNAcentral.